GGGCCGGUAGCUCAGCUAGGCAGAGCAGCGGACUCUUAAUCCGUCGGUCGGGGGUUCAAAUCCCCUCCGGCCCG
Transfer RNA from Archaeoglobus sulfaticallidus PM70-1, 74 nucleotides. It matches the Rfam family "tRNA". From Rfam's summary of the family: Transfer RNA (tRNA) molecules are approximately 80 nucleotides in length. The record is from Rfam. Lineage: Archaea; Methanobacteriati; Methanobacteriota; Archaeoglobi; Archaeoglobales; Archaeoglobaceae.